UGAGGAAUAUUGGUCAAUGGACGCAAGUCUGAACCAGCCAUGCCGCGUGCAGGAUGACGGCUCUAUGAGUUGUAAACUGCUUUUGUAUGAGGGUAAUAUCAGGUACGUGUACCUGCUUGAAAGUAUCAUACGAAUAAGGAUCGGCUAACUCCGUGCCAGCAGCCGCGGUAAUACGGAGGAUCCAAGCGUUAUCCGGAUUUAUUGGGUUUAAAGGGUGCGUAGGCGGUUUUAUAAGUUAGAGGUUAAAUGUCAGGGCUCAACUCUGGCCUGCCUCUAAUACUGUAGGACUAGAGAGUAGAUGCGGUAGGCGGAAUGUAUGGUGUAGCGGUGAAAUGCGUAGAGAUCAUACAGAACACCGAUUGCGAAGGCAGCUUACCAAACUAUAUCUGACGUUGAGGCACGAAAGCGUGGGUAGCAAACAGG
RNAcentral lists this ribosomal RNA (423 nucleotides) under uncultured prokaryote. RNAcentral's name for it is "bacterial SSU rRNA". It matches the Rfam family "Bacterial small subunit ribosomal RNA", at positions 355 to 776 of the family's 1533-position model. The record is from RNAcentral. RNAcentral also lists the same sequence under 1 other name.